RNAcentral lists this ribosomal RNA (147 nucleotides) under Neofusicoccum australe. RNAcentral's name for it is "5.8S ribosomal RNA". It matches the Rfam family "5.8S ribosomal RNA". Rfam says of the family: 5.8S ribosomal RNA (5.8S rRNA) is a component of the large subunit of the eukaryotic ribosome. It is transcribed by RNA polymerase I as part of the 45S precursor that also contains 18S and 28S rRNA. RNAcentral also lists the same sequence under 3 other names. Lineage: Eukaryota; Fungi; Ascomycota; Dothideomycetes; Botryosphaeriales; Botryosphaeriaceae. The record is from RNAcentral.
CAACGGAUCUCUUGGUUCUGGCAUCGAUGAAGAACGCAGCGAAAUGCGAUAAGUAAUGUGAAUUGCAGAAUUCAGUGAAUCAUCGAAUCUUUGAACGCACAUUGCGCCCCUUGGUAUUCCGAGGGGCAUGCCUGUUCGAGCGUCAUU